Molecule: ribosomal RNA, 448 nt
Filed under: uncultured bacterium
Lineage: Bacteria
Description: bacterial SSU rRNA
Rfam family: Bacterial small subunit ribosomal RNA
Source: RNAcentral
AACGAACGCUGGCGGCAGGCUUAACACAUGCAAGUCGAGCGCACCUUCGGGUGAGCGGCGGACGGGUUAGUAACGCGUGGGAACAUACCCUUUGGUACGGAAUAGCCUCUGGAAACGGAGAGUAAUACCGUAUGAGCCCUUCGGGGGAAAGAUUUAUCGCCAAAGGAUUGGCCCGCGUUAGAUUAGGUAGUUGGUGGGGUAAUGGCCUACCAAGCCUACGAUCUAUAGCUGGUUUUAGAGGAUGAUCAGCAACACUGGGACUGAGACACGGCCCAGACUCCUACGGGAGGCAGCAGUGGGGAAUCUUGGACAAUGGGGGCAACCCUGAUCCAGCCAUGCCGCGUGAGUGAUGAAGGCCUUAGGGUCGUAAAGCUCUUUCGCCUGUGAAGAUAAUGACGGUAGCAGGUAAAGAAACCCCGGCUAACUCCGUGCCAGCCGCCGCCGUAAC